UAGAGAAUGAGGACUGGGACUUUUAGUCAGUCCACAUCUAGAAUUCUCCAAAAUCGAGAUAUACCUUUCUGUACCCUAGAAAACCAUGCUGUGUUCCAGUUUACUUUGAAUGUUUCAGUGAAAAUGAUGAAGCUGAAAAAAUGACGGAGGCCCGUUUUACAUUGCAUUUCUCAGAGUCAUCGCCUCUGCUGCAGAUGGAACAACAGCCAUGGAGAAUGAGGGUCACCUGAAUGUGGAAAAGUUGAGUUGGAGCAAAACUGGCACGGCCAUACUGGAUGGACCUCAGCAUGACCAGGACACAUUUCAGCUCAAAUCCCCUGUGCCAAGAACACAUUCUGCCAAGGACCACCACCUCUUCCCACAACUAGAGCUGGCUUACCAGAGCACCGAUGGACUUGGAUACCUGAGAUAUCUGCUUGGGAUCCCACACUUUCAAGGUCUCUCCUCUGGCCUUCUUCUGGUUCUGCGACUCCUUACAGCGCUGGGAGUUGGUGAUGCCAACAGGACAUACGCUCCCAGAGCCUACCUCUCCCAGAUCACUUUAAAAGGCACCCAGGACCCCAGAAUUCUCAUCCUCAAAGGCAUGGAGCUCAGCUCUUGGCCCUCAACAAAUCUCUUCCCCAUAAAGAUCCUUUUGAGAGCUUAGGAUGUCCCCCGGAUGGUUUUGGUUGCAGAUUGUGGUGGUGGAGGGAGCUAUACAAUUUAAUCUAUUGCCAUUAAUUGGAUGCGCUAAUGGCAGAUUGGGUAGUGAUAAUGCCAUAAGAGGUAGUGUGUGAGCCGUGUGCUGCAUCUGUGCUAGCUCAGGUAAGUCAGCACACAGCACCUGCAGCCUCCUCUCACCUCUUCCCUGAGCAGCACCUUUUCACCUGAACAUGCUGAUCCCCUAGUGCUUCAUCUUGACAGCAACUUAACAAGCCCUGGGCAGCUUUUUAAAAUAAAUGACUAUGAUAUUGACUAUGAAUCUACAUAAAAGCCACUUGUUUUUUAGUCAUAAUCUG
RNAcentral lists this long non-coding RNA (998 nucleotides) under Homo sapiens (human). Its description in RNAcentral is "non-protein coding LINC01501:6". The record is from RNAcentral. Lineage: Eukaryota; Metazoa; Chordata; Mammalia; Primates; Hominidae.